AUCAGAGACUACGAUGGGAGAAAAUGGGUUUUAUGAACAGAAAUUUAAUAAGGGUAAAAUAUUAGAUAAAGCACGGUGUUUAAAUGAAAUGUAUCAUCUAAAAAUCCAGGAGUCUUGCAUAGUGGACAAUGUUUAUGUGUCCUGAUACGGCACAAAAUCAAAAUCUCCAGUCUAUUGAUUAUAGAGUUAUAAAAGGCCAUCCUCUUCAAUAGUCCAAACACAUUUGGUAGCACACCUAUCAAAAUCAUGUUUAUAUGAAAAUGCAACAAAGUGGUGCCAAUUUGAAUCAUUCCACAUCACAUUACAGUAAAAAAGAGUAGUCCCCCAAAUAUUAACAUUGGAACUCCAAUCAGCUUCAAAGCCAUCGGGUAUUUUAUGAAAAACCAAGAUCAUUAUCCCGCGACUUGCAAUGGAUAUUCAAAAUCCUUUCGUGUCCCAGACGAUUUACAACACUUGCGCCGACUCUAUCUAGCACCAUUGAUUCAGACAGCCUCAAAACCAGAAAAAGAACGAGAGCACAUGUUUUAGACAUAACAAUGUUUUUUU
This 546-nucleotide long non-coding RNA is filed under the name Olea europaea subsp. europaea. Lineage: Eukaryota; Viridiplantae; Streptophyta; Magnoliopsida; Lamiales; Oleaceae. The record is from RNAcentral.